ACGAACGCUGGCGGCCUGCCUAACACCUGCAAGUCGCACGCGACCUUCGGGUCUAGUGGCGCACGGGUGCGUAACGCGUGGGAACCUGCCCUUAGGUUCGGAAUAACUCCCCGAAAGGGGUGCUAAUACCGGAUAAUGUCUUCGGACCAAAGAUUUAUCGCCUUUGGAUGGGCCCGCGUUGGAUUAGCUAGUUGGUAGGGUAAAAGCCUACCAAGGCGACGAUCCAUAGCUGGUCUGAGAGGAUGAUCAGCCACACUGGGACUGAGACACGGCCCAGACUCCUACGGGAGGCAGCAGUGGGGAAUAUUGGACAAUGGGCGAAAGCCUGAUCCAGCAAUGCCGCGUGAGUGAUGAAGGCCUUAGGGUUGUAAAGCUCUUUUACCCGGGAUGAUAAUGACAGUACCGGGAGAAUAAGCUCCGGCUAACUCCGUG
Molecule: ribosomal RNA, 432 nt
Filed under: uncultured bacterium
Lineage: Bacteria
Description: partial 16S ribosomal RNA
Rfam family: Bacterial small subunit ribosomal RNA
Source: RNAcentral